Molecule: ribosomal RNA, 442 nt
Filed under: uncultured bacterium
Lineage: Bacteria
Description: partial 16S ribosomal RNA
Rfam family: Bacterial small subunit ribosomal RNA
Source: RNAcentral
AUGAACGCUGGCGGCAUGCCUAACACAUGCAAGUCGAUCGGUAAGGCUCUUCGGAGUACCCGAGAGGCGGACGGCUGAGUAACGCGUAGGAACACACCCUGCAGUGAGGGAUAAGACACCGAAAGGUGUUCUAAUACCGCAUACGGUCUUCGGAUUAAAGCAUUUAUGCGCUGAAGGAGUGGCCUGCGUCAUAUUAGAUAGUUGGUGAGGUAAUGGCUCACCAAGUCGAUGAUGUGUAGCUGGUCUGAGAGGAUGAUCAGCCAGACUGGAACUGAGACACGGUCCAGACUCCUACGGGAGGCAGCAGUGAGGAAUAUUUCACAAUGAGCGAAAGCUUGAUGGAGCAAUGCCGCGUGCAGGAUGAAGGCCCUCGGGUUGUAAACUGCUUUUAUAAGAGAAGAUUAUGACGGUAACUUAUGAAUAAGGGACGGCUAACUACGUG